Carassius auratus (goldfish) is the source of this 3239-nucleotide long non-coding RNA. RefSeq lists it as uncharacterized. Lineage: Eukaryota; Metazoa; Chordata; Actinopteri; Cypriniformes; Cyprinidae. The transcript has 2 exons. The record is from RefSeq and is a predicted model, not a curated record.
UAUGUAUGUUGUUGCUACAAAUAUGUUUGUUGUUUUGAAGAUAUUGUUGGUUGUCUUUGAACUCUUAGCUAUUUGUUUCUGCUUUUAAAACCGCACAAAAGGGGAAAUGAGGGAAUAUUCUGGAAUAUUCUGGAAAGUUUAUGUUUCUUAUUGCUACAACUGUUUUUACCUGUUAAUAAAUUGCCUAUAAAUAAAGUUUUAAACAAUUAUACUAUUAAUAUAUUAGUCCAUUACGUUGGCCCUUCACCAAAACAACCUUGUGGUCAACAUUGAACGCAAGUGACUAGUCUAGCAUUCCAGCUGCUCUAACAGUAGGCCGUGCCGCAAGCAACAGCAAGAUGAAGGGUUUGAUUCCCUGGGAAUGCAUGAGCCACUGAAGAAUGAUUACCUUAAAUGCACUGCAAAUCACUUUGGAUAAAAGUGCCUGCCAAAUGCAUAAAAUACUAGACACAUCACAAUCUAAAUUACUGGUUUUAUAAUCAACAACGCUUUCCAAAGUGCUUAUGUUUGAAAGUUUGCAGAAUAUACUUUUCAGAUAUUUUACAGUAAAUGGGGCCAUGCUGUAUAAAAGGUACAGCAAAAUCUGUACCGGUUAACAUAGUCCUAGCAUCACGUUGUAGAGUAUAUAUAAUCAUACCCUCCAUCCCUAGCCUCUCGCGAUCACUCCCCUGCUGUGAUCUGCAGUCUACUGGCCUCAAAAUAUACAGCCAUCUUUUCUCUGGCUCUUCCUUAUCUAGUGUCUUUUUUUUCUGUUUCGCACUGAAAGUACCAGAGGACCCUUUUUUCACUCAAGCUCCUAUGGGAUUUUAAGAUACACACACAGACAAGUGACUGAAGGUCACGCUUUUUCGGGGGGUGAGGGGUGGGCGCUUUCAAUCAGGUUAAUGUCCUUCUCUAGAGUGUGAUCUCUCUCUCUCUCUAUCUGAGAUUGAAACACAGCCACAUGAAAGGGGACGAAGAGAUGAAGCCAGAGAGUCUGAAAUACUCUCUGAUGGAAAAGACAGUCAGCUGUCACACAGAUGCAUAUAAUACAUAAAAGAAUCCAUACUGUAAUGAGAAUACAGUGCAAAAAGAUGAGACGUCUUAGAGACAGAGUAACGAAUAAAACAGGAGGGGACUUUUAAACAGAUUAGGUUUCUGAAGAGUUCACCCUUUCCCCCUGUGAUUGAUUAAAAGAUAUAGUUACACAUGCUAUAAUAAAGCAGUCACGUUGAAUCACUAAGAAAGAAAAGGACGCUGUCUAUUUGAGGACGUUAAAAGUUGUGCACAGACGCACAUAAAAUUAAGUUCUACGAAUAUUUCAUAUCAGAUUACUUUAAUCGAAUGAUCUGCAAACUCAAUUUGGGACAUAAUUAGAAGCACAACCCAUCUGGGAGAGCUAUUGUGUGUGUGUUUCUGCAGAAGCAUGGCUGUUAAAACGUUUAACCCCUAAAGGAGAGUCCCUCAGCUUAGAGUUGAACCUUCUGCACCAGUCAAAAAUUUUACAUUUUCCCAAUGGCUUUACGAUCUGUUUGGAAAAAUCUAGGACACAUCAGGAACAAAUGCACACAGGCAAAAGAAAUGUCAAACGAAUGGUGGUUAACUGUAUGGAAAAUACAUAUAUACACGUACGCGCAAACACUGGUGUAAAAAAAAUUCUGCUGGCACAAUUUGCUACUGUGCUCGGUGUUGAUUUUCCAAAAUAAACAGGCCAUCAAAAAACUUUAUUUCCAUUGCUUCCUCACCUUAUUCUGUGCUGAAAGAGCUUCAACACAGACGCUCAAGAUAUAAACACUCCGAACGGAUCCUGUAGUGGGAUUCAGUGUUUUUCUGGAGGAGAAUUUGGGAUUUGAAAAACACCUGUGCACUAAAACUUGAACAAAUUCGUUUUAAGCUUCUCAGAACGCACACAAUCAUUUAGACUAGCAAUCUAAAAAUGCUAUCUUAACAUUAGCUUGAUACAAAGUUAAAGUAUUAAAAACUAACCUUAACUUACUGAAUCUAAUAUAUCUAUUGCAUUAAAAGUUGGAUUUCUGUGUCUUAAGCUUCUCAAAAACCAAAACAUUUACAUACUGAAGCUAAAUGCUAGCUUGAUACAAAGUUAAUUAUAACUACUAAAACGAACCUUAACUUACUGAACCUAAUCAAACUAUUGCACCAAAGCUUCUCAAAACACACAAACAUCUAAAUGCUAGCUGGAUACAAAGUUUCCUGUAACUGCUAAAAAUUUAUUAUAUAUUUAUGUACCAGUUUUUCCCUUGAUAAAAAUACUUUUUUGAUUAAAUUCAGCUAACUUCUCAAAACAAUUUUCAUCUAAUUUGCCUCCAAACUUUCUGUGUCACUCAGAAAACCCCCUCAACACCCUCAUGAAUUAGACAUGUGUAGCCCAGGACGCUGUUUAAAACCUCUCGUUUAAUAGCAAAUCGACCAUGGGCCACUGUAAAUGAGUUUCUGAAACAGUCCUGUUGUAAAAGCCUCGGCCAUGAAUAAAUUCAAACCAAUCUGACCACCUUCUCACCUAUGGCGAAAUGCACAGAGAGCAGUCAGAGCUAAAUUAAAACAUCCCUUUAUUAAACUCUGAACUCAAGCGUGACAGCGGCAUAAUACAGAUGAUUCAUUAGCUGACAUUGCUAACGCUAAUCACAGCCGUGCAGAGCGGAGGGGAGACACUGCUGAGUCAUAAGCUCUCCAAUGCUUAUCUUAGGCUGCUUUUGCGGUUUUGGCUUGGGUUUGGUGAAGACACUGGUGCUAGCAGUGCUAAUUGCGAAAGAUCUUACUGCAUUCAUUUUGUAUUGGACGUCAUUCGUGCAACUGUGGUUUUGGCUUCUCUGGAACACUGAUCUAACGGUAACCAAGGAAACACUGCAUCACUGCUGCUCCAUAAGCACCCCCUGCUGUCAGAGAGUGAAAUUGUGUCUCAUUCAGCCCAUCUGAUGUUUUUGUCAUGUUCAAAUGUUUUAUGUAGCAUCAUUUCACAAAAUUAAAGUCAGACCAUUCUUUUUUUGCUUGAAAUUUCAAAAUGAUACAGUAUAAUUUUGUUUAAAAACUGCUCAUGCAGCAUGCAAGCAGAAUCUUUCUUUGGAUCAUGAUUAAAAUCGAAAAGUUUUAGUCAGUGUGUAUGCAGAGAGGUCUUUUAUUUGUGUUGUUUAUUUAUUUGAUCUGGGGUUUGUUUUAAAAUUUCAUAUUUCAAUUUCACAAAGAAAUGUUCAGCAUUUUGUCUAAGCGAUAAUAAAACGACUUCAUUUAUAAUUUGUCUCAAA